GACGAACGCUGGCGGCGUGCCUAAUACAUGCAAGUAGAACGCUGAAGAGAGGAGCUUACUCUUCUUGGAUGAGUUGCGAACGGGUGAGUAACGCGUAGGUAACCUGCCUUGUAGCGGGGGAUAACUAUUGGAAACGAUAGCUAAUACCGCAUAACAAUGGAUGACACAUGUCAUUUAUUUGAAAGGGGCAAUUGCUCCACUACAAGAUGGACCUGCGUUGUAUUAGCUAGUAGGUGAGGUAAUGGCUCACCUAGGCGACGAUACAUAGCCGACCUGAGAGGGUGAUCGGCCACACUGGGACUGAGACACGGCCCAGACUCCUACGGGAGGCAGCAGUAGGGAAUCUUCGGCAAUGGGGGCAACCCUGACCGAGCAACGCCGCGUGAGUGAAGAAGGUUUUCGGAUCGUAAAGCUCUGUUGUAAGUCAAGAACGGGUGUGAGAGUGGAAAGUUCACAAUGUGACGGUAGCUUACCAGAAAGAGACGGCUAACUACGUG
Molecule: ribosomal RNA, 497 nt
Filed under: uncultured bacterium
Lineage: Bacteria
Description: partial 16S ribosomal RNA
Rfam family: Bacterial small subunit ribosomal RNA
Source: RNAcentral